This 466-nucleotide ribosomal RNA is filed under the name uncultured Nitrosomonas sp. RNAcentral's name for it is "bacterial SSU rRNA". It matches the Rfam family "Bacterial small subunit ribosomal RNA", at positions 198 to 645 of the family's 1533-position model. Lineage: Bacteria; Pseudomonadati; Pseudomonadota; Betaproteobacteria; Nitrosomonadales; Nitrosomonadaceae. The record is from RNAcentral.
GGAGAAAAGCAGGGGACCGCAAGACCUUGCGCUAAAGGAGCGGCCGAUGUCUGAUUAGUUAGUUGGUGGGGUAAAGGCCUACCAAGGCAACGAUCAGUAGCUGGUCUGAGAGGACGAUCAGCCACACUGGGACUGAGACACGGCCCAGACUCCUACGGGAGGCAGCAGUGGGGAAUUUUGGACAAUGGGCGAAAGCCUGAUCCAGCCAUGCCGCGUGAAUGAAGAAGGCCUUCGGGUUGUAAAGUUCUUUUAGUUGGAAAGAAAAAAUUAUGAUGAAUAAUCAUAAUUCAUGACGGUACCGACAGAAAAAGCACCGGCUAACUACGUGCCAGCAGCCGCGGUAAUACGUAGGGUGCAAGCGUUAAUCGGAAUUACUGGGCGUAAAGGGUGUGCAGCGGCCUUGUAAGUCAGAUGUGAAAGCCCCGGGGCUUUACCUGGGAAUUGCGUUUUGAAACUACAAGCUAGA